GUUUGAUCAUGGCUCAGGUNCGAACGCUGGCGGCGUGCCUAAUACAUGCAAGUCGAGCGAAUCUUGAGGAGCUUGCUCCUUAAGGUUAGCGGCGGACGGGUGAGUAACACGUGGGCAACCUGCCUGUAAGACUGGGAUAACACCGGGAAACCGGUGCUAAUACCGGAUAACUCUUCACCUCUCAUGAGGUGAAGCUGAAAGUCGGUUUCGGCUGACACUUACAGAUGGGCCCGCGGCGCAUUAGCUAGUUGGUGAGGUAACGGCUCACCAAGGCGACGAUGCGUAGCCGACCUGAGAGGGUGAUCGGCCACACUGGGACUGAGACACGGCCCAGACUCCUACGGGAGGCAGCAGUAGGGAAUCUUCCGCAAUGGACGAAAGUCUGACGGAGCAACGCCGCGUGAGUGAUGAAGGCCUUCGGGUCGUAAAACUCUGUUGUUAGGGAAGAACAAGUGCCGGAGUAACUGUCGGCACCUUGACGGUACCUAACCAGAAAGCCACGGCUAACUACGUGCCAGCAGCCGCGGUAAUACGUAGGUGGCAAGCGUUGUCCGGAAUUAUUGGGCGUAAAGCGCGCGCAGGCGGUCCUUUAAGUCUGAUGUGAAAGCCCACGGCUCAACCGUGGAGGGUCAUUGGAAACUGGGGGACUUGAGUGCAGAAGA
RNAcentral lists this ribosomal RNA (662 nucleotides) under uncultured bacterium. RNAcentral's name for it is "bacterial SSU rRNA". It matches the Rfam family "Bacterial small subunit ribosomal RNA", at positions 11 to 655 of the family's 1533-position model. The record is from RNAcentral.